AUGCUCAAGACCGCCCGCACUGCCCCGGGCAUCUUCUUGUUCAGCCACGUCCAAAAAGCACCGUGCCAGGGCGCGGGGGAGAGCCGGCAUCCCGCUUCGCCCAGCCAUCCUGGGAGGCACCGCUGCCUCCGGAGCCUCCCAGCGCGCGGGAACAUCCUCAUCGCUCCCGGGCCGCUUGGCGGGCACGGGAAGCCGCCGCUGGCCGCGGGCCCGGCAGCCCGGAGCGCGCUGGCGGCAGGACGCGCUCCUCCCCGCGCGUCUCCCCAGCGCGAACAAGGGCGCUUUGAGAGGCCCGGGGGCGGCGGGGGGGUUCCCGCAAGGGAGGCCACUAGCCCUUUAAGAGGGGAAAUUUACUUUGUAAUCCGAGCGGAUUCCGCGUUUGGGACAGGCGGGAGAAGUCGCAGGUCCCUCCCUCGCAGCACUUUAUUUAAUAUAGUAGUAGCGAAGCGGCGGGCUGGCAGCAGGCUCCGGCUGGGCUGCGCCUCCCUGGCCAGCCCUCGCGGGGACACCAUGGGCUCCCGAGAGCGUCCCGCCGCCCCGCUGCCGCUGCUGCCACUGCUGCCACUGCCGCUGCCACUGCUGCUGCUGCUGCUGCUGCUGGCGGGCCAGCCGAAGCCCCUCCGCGCGAGACCCCCAGCCGGAGGUAAGCCGAACCCGGGGCUCGUCGCCGCUGGGCGAGCAGCGAGGGCCGGGGCACGUCGCGGAGGAGAGCAUCCACGCGGGGCUGCAGCGGGCAGCGAGGGAAGGGGAACGGGGACGAAUCGCCCCCGAACCCGGCCAGGCGGGCGGACGGGCGCCCAGCCCCGGGCCGUUCCCACGCCCUGUCCAGCCGGAGCAGAGCUGCUCUCUGCUGCGGGGCUCUGGGGGCGAGCGGGCAGCUCAUGUGCCGUGCUUUCCCGGGAGUUACGUGCCGACCUGGAAGCAGGCAGAGGCGCUGGGCGGGAUGGGGCUCGCCGCCUCACGACCACAGCAGCCGCGGGGAUGCUCCGUUUGCAGCACACGGGACAAAAGCCCUUGAAAAGCAAACACCUUUGCGGCUCCGCAGGAAGCACCGCGCUGCGGGCACGGAGCACGGACACCUCCUCUGGCCCUCGUUUCGGAGAGCCGUGCCUGGGAGGCAGAGCCAGCCCUCCCCAGCCCGGUUUGGCCUUACAACGGUUUCGUCGGCCCCUUCGCCUCCAAGGCGCAGCGGCUUGA
RNAcentral lists this long non-coding RNA (1197 nucleotides) under Apteryx haastii (Great spotted kiwi). RNAcentral describes it as "lncRNA (ENSAHAG00000014947.1)". Lineage: Eukaryota; Metazoa; Chordata; Aves; Apterygiformes; Apterygidae. The record is from RNAcentral.